RNAcentral lists this long non-coding RNA (752 nucleotides) under Homo sapiens (human). Its description in RNAcentral is "HSALNT0389376". Lineage: Eukaryota; Metazoa; Chordata; Mammalia; Primates; Hominidae. The record is from RNAcentral.
AGAGUCAGGCCUGCAACCCUCCACCAUCACCCAAUGCCCGGUCCCUGUGCCCAGCUCACCUGUCUCUCCCCAGAUGGGCAGGUACUCAUCCUGCUGAAUGUCCAGCAUGAUCUCCAGCCCGUUGCCUGUCCCCCCCUUGACCGUGGUGAGCAGAGGUUUGCCAUCCUCGCCUGAGUUAAACAUGUAACACUUCCCAUAUUUUGUAAACACCUGAAGGAGAGAAGAGAGAGAGAGAGAGAAGCACAUGGGUAACUUCAGACGGGGGUCCAGAGAUUGGCGAGACCCCAGAAAUCUGACAGCAGGACCCAAGCGUUUUUUGACUGCAUCACUCUGGUUUCCUAGCUGGACUUCAGGAUUCCAGAUGACCUUCUCCAGCCCAUCCUCUAAGGUAACUGAAUUGGGGUUCAGGAAGGAGAAAUGAACUGCCCAAGGUCACACAGGAAGUGGCAAAGCCAGGACUCAAUCAAGGUCACCCAACUUCACAUUUAAGGUUUGUUCAAUCCUACCAUGAUUCCUUUCACCUAAACAUUAGGAUGUGCGAGAAGAAGCACACUUGGGUAUCAAUGCAUCAUUUCCAAAGUGCACAGUGACUAAGAUCCUAGGGCCGGAGGUCAAACUGCCUGGGUUUCAACCUCAGUUCUGCCAUUACCAUGGCUGUGCCAUUUACUUAACCUUACUGUGUUUCAGUUUUCUUACCUGUAAAAUGGAAAGAAUGAUAAUAAAUUCCAUACUUCUUUAUUAUGAAAAUUAAA